AUUGAACGCUGGCGGCAGGCCUAACACAUGCAAGUCGAACGGUAACAGGAAGCAGCUUGCUGCUUUGCUGACGAGUGGCGGACGGGUGAGUAAUGUCUGGGAAACUGCCCGAUGGAGGGGGAUAACUACUGGAAACGGUAGCUAAUACCGCAUAACGUCGCAAGACCAAAGAGGGGGACCUUAGGGCCGCUUGCCAUCGGAUGUGCCCAGAUGGGAUUAGCUAGUAGGUGGGGUAACGGCUCACCUAGGCGACGAUCCCUAGCUGGUCUGAGAGGAUGACCAGCCACACUGGAACUGAGACACGCUCCAGACUCCUACGGGAGGCAGCAGUGGGGAAUAUUGCACAAUGGGCGCAAGCCUGAUGCAGCCAUGCCGCGUGUAUGAAGAAGGCCUUCGGGUUGUAAAGUACUCUCAGCGGGGAGGAAGGGAGUAAAGUUAAUACCUUUGCUCAUUGACGUUACCCGCAGAAGAAGCACCGGCUAACUCCGUG
Molecule: ribosomal RNA, 490 nt
Filed under: uncultured bacterium
Lineage: Bacteria
Description: partial 16S ribosomal RNA
Rfam family: Bacterial small subunit ribosomal RNA
Source: RNAcentral